UACGUAGGGUGCAAGCGUUGCCCGGAUUUAUUGGGCGUAAAGGGCGCGUAGGCGGCUCUGCACGUUCGUUGUGAAAUCGCCCGGCUCAACUGGGCGGGGUCAGCGGAUACGGCAGAGCUUGAGCAAGCUAGGGGGCAAUGGAAUUCCCGGUGUAGUGGUGGAAUGCGUAGAUAUCAGGAGGAACACCGGUGGCGAAGGCGGUUCUCUGGGCAUUACCUGACGCUGAGGAGCGAAAGUGUGGGGAGCGAACAGG
RNAcentral lists this ribosomal RNA (253 nucleotides) under uncultured bacterium. RNAcentral describes it as "partial 16S ribosomal RNA". It matches the Rfam family "Bacterial small subunit ribosomal RNA", at positions 524 to 776 of the family's 1533-position model. The record is from RNAcentral.